Molecule: non-coding RNA, 69 nt
Organism: Rattus norvegicus (Norway rat)
Lineage: Eukaryota; Metazoa; Chordata; Mammalia; Rodentia; Muridae
Source: Rfam
GGGGAUUUAGCUCAGUGGUAGAGUGCUUGCCUAGCAAGCGCAAGGCCCUGGGUUCAGUUCCCAGCUCCG